AUUGAACGCUGGCGGCAGGCCUAACACAUGCAAGUCGAGCGGAUGAAGGGAGCUUGCUCCUGGAUUCAGCGGCGGACGGGUGAGUAAUGCCUAGGAAUCUGCCUGGUAGUGGGGGAUAACGUCCGGAAACGGGCGCUAAUACCGCAUACGUCCUGAGGGAGAAAGUGGGGGAUCUUCGGACCUCACGCUAUCAGAUGAGCCUAGGUCGGAUUAGCUAGUUGGUGGGGUAAAGGCCUACCAAGGCGACGAUCCGUAACUGGUCUGAGAGGAUGAUCAGUCACACUGGAACUGAGACACGGUCCAAACUCCUACGGGAGGCACCAGUGGGGAAUAUUGGACAAUGGGCGAAAGCCUGAUCCAGCCAUGCCGCGUGUGUGAAGAAGGUCUUCGGAUUGUAAAGCACUUUAAGUUGGGAGGAAGGGCAGUAAGUUAAUACCUUGCUGUUUUGACGUUACCAACAGAAUAAGCACCGGCUAACUUCGUG
RNAcentral lists this ribosomal RNA (484 nucleotides) under uncultured bacterium. Its description in RNAcentral is "partial 16S ribosomal RNA". It matches the Rfam family "Bacterial small subunit ribosomal RNA", at positions 30 to 507 of the family's 1533-position model. The record is from RNAcentral.